This is a long non-coding RNA of Patella vulgata (common limpet), 640 nucleotides long. RefSeq lists it as uncharacterized. The transcript has 3 exons. Lineage: Eukaryota; Metazoa; Mollusca; Gastropoda; Patellidae. The record is from RefSeq and is a predicted model, not a curated record.
GAUGGAUGAGAAAAGAUAUUGUCUAUAAUAAUGAUACAUGCUAUAAUACUUAGCUUUAAUAAAAACCAUGUUACAUACUAAUAACUUAAAGAAAUGAUUUGAUCAAGGGGUAAAAUAACUGGUUGGUUAAAUGUAUAUAAGGACGGAAUUAACCUAUAGUUAGCAUUCAGAAGACAACAAAGAAACCUACAGGCAAGCAGUAUUCGAAUAGUAUCAAGUCCAUAAAUCAGAUCAAAAUGAAAGUAGAAAUGAUUUUAGCGUUUAUUGUUGUUUUGGUAACUAUGUCGUUAAGUAAUGCUGCAAAUUCGAACGAAGAUCCGGAUAGGCAAAACUUUGGUGGUGGACUUUUUCCUGGAAAUGGUUUCUUGAACAAUCUAUUCCAACCAGCGCAACCAUAUCAACCAAUGAACCGAUUUAACAGAUUCCCUAACCGAUUUGGUAAUCCACGGUUGAAUAGAUUUGGACAAAAUAGAUGGGCAGGUCAAAAUAAUUUCUUUAAUCCAGGAAGUUGGGGAGGAAACCAACGAUCUGUUAACCCAUAUCAGAUUGCUGGCCCUAGCAGUAACUUUAUCUGGUAAUCAUUUUGAAGAUGUAAUUAUUGUUAUUGUAACAUGAAUAUCAUAUGCAUUCCAUAUAACUG